UAAACAACUUCGGAACGAGGUCAACAAAUGGCGUCUAUGUUGAGCAAGUUUCACUUAUGGGUAGCCAAGACUAGAAAAUUGGAAGCAAAUGGUAUUCCCUUCGAGCAAGUCCGACCUAUGAUGGACUAAAUUCAGAAAAUCGUCCGUGGGAUUGGCAGAGAGUAAGCGUGGCUUAACGACAGAUCCGAUCUGCAGGAGUGGAACAAUCGGUUCUC
Long non-coding RNA from Colletes gigas, 215 nucleotides. RefSeq lists it as uncharacterized. The record is from RefSeq and is a predicted model, not a curated record. Lineage: Eukaryota; Metazoa; Arthropoda; Insecta; Hymenoptera; Colletidae. The transcript has 3 exons.